CCCUAUAUGUACGCGCACAGGGGCUUCUCCGGCGGCCAUCUGCUAAACGCAUGGCUUUAUUGGCCGACGAAAAAAAUCGGCUAUAAAUCAAGCGUCUUAUUUCUUGUAUUUCUCCUUUCUACGAAAUCAGGUUAAAUUUCUUUGUUAACCGUUAUAACAAGAGAGUUGUUACAAGACAGUUUUCUCUGCGAAUCCAGACAUGCUUUAGCAUAUGUCAGUCGCAGAAACCACUGUCACUUAUAUACCGUGUUUUACGGUAACCUCCAGCGCUCCGUGCUGCUGCUCGCUUGCAUGAUCCAAAGCUAGCGCGCUGUACAGCCCGCGGUCUGAGACUGGCCAUGCCAGCAGGUGCUAAACAAGUAACACUGGCAUUUAAUAUGAUUUCUUAUUUAAAAAAAAUGUAUCACAAGCAACUUAAAAUAGAGGAAACCCCCAGCAGGUAGCUGCUCCGCCAGGCACCUUGCAUCGCCAUUAUACAUGAGUAAUGAAUGAAGCCCGCUGCAUGAGCCCACAGGUGUGUGUUGUCAUGGAGUUUUAUUGGAGCCUGGCUCUCCUGCUGAGUGUCCCGGAUGUUGUCGACCAGACACACUCACUCCUUGAAUUUCUGACAGGUUGAAUUUGGACAUUUUUUCUUUCUUCCUCUUCUUUUUCUUUUUUUUUCUUUCUUUCAAGCAUUAGGAGUUCAAGUUCAGGUUCUGCUCAAUCUGAUUUCACUGCAUGUAUUCCACUCCAAGUCACAUAUUCAGCAGCACCUUUCAUCACCCAGUUUCCUCAAGAUGAAUUUUUUUUAGGCUUAAAGGAAAUUGCUUGUGUUUAAAGGCAGCGGUCUGAAUGCUAUUGAAAACCUCGUCUCAAGAAACAUCUGGUGACCUCAGAAGUGUGAACUACACACAGGAACAAGUGCGGCUGGUUAGAGACACCGCUCGAGAGAUAUCAUGCAUGUACAAGUCCGAUCAACCUAUAAACCUUGACAAGGGGAAUGUUCGAGACGAAUAAAGCGCUCCUCCCGUGAUGCAGUCCUUUAAGCACAGAUGCCACUUUGGCCGGCAGUCUCAGUCUGACCAGCUCGGACUGAGACGAAUUAGAAAGCAGCGCAAAAACAAGGCAGGCAAGUGUCUGAGCAAAAAGGCAUUCUACAUUAUUUUUUCUCUCUUUUUUUUUUUCUUAAGUUUUUUUUUUUUUUUUUUUUUUUUUUUUGGUUCUUUGGGGGGGAAAAAGUUCACAAAAGCUGUCACUUUAUCACCUUUAGCUGUUGCCUGGUAAAUUGUUUGGUCUUGUAAUUAUGACCAGAAAGUUAAACGUCUAAACAGAGUUACCAAAGUCCUAUGUCAGUUCCCCAAACAUUAGACGUGCCCGCCCCCUUUUUUUUUUUUUUUUUUAAAGCACACCUGCUAACAGAAGAAAGUGUCUUUCA
Long non-coding RNA from Pangasianodon hypophthalmus (striped catfish), 1414 nucleotides. RefSeq lists it as uncharacterized. NCBI's taxonomy places the organism in Eukaryota, Metazoa, Chordata, Actinopteri, Siluriformes, Pangasiidae. The transcript has 3 exons. The record is from RefSeq and is a predicted model, not a curated record.